UACGAAGGGGGCUAGCGUUGCUCGGAAUUACUGGGCGUAAAGCGAACGUAGGCGGUGUUCCAUGUCAGAGGUGAAAGCCUGGGGCUCAACUCCAGAAUUGCCUUUGAAACGGGGACGCUUGAGUCCGAGAGAGGGUGGCGGAAUUCCUAGUGUAGAGGUGAAAUUCGUAGAUAUUAGGAAGAACACCAGUGGCGAAGGCGGCCACCUGGCUCGGUACUGACGCUCAGGUUCGAAAGCGUGGGGAGCAAACAGG
RNAcentral lists this ribosomal RNA (253 nucleotides) under uncultured bacterium. RNAcentral's name for it is "partial 16S ribosomal RNA". It matches the Rfam family "Bacterial small subunit ribosomal RNA", at positions 524 to 776 of the family's 1533-position model. The record is from RNAcentral.